GGAAUCUUAGACAAUGGGCGCAAGCCUGAUCUAGCCAUGCCGCGUGAGUGACGAAGGCCCUAGGGUCGUAAAGCUCUUUCGCCAGGGAAGAUAAUGACGGUACCUGGUAACGACACCCCGGCUAACUCCGUGCCAGCAGCCGCGGUAAUACGGAGGGGGUUAGCGUUGUUCGGAAUUACUGGGCGUAAAGCGCGCGUAGGCGGAUUAGUCAGUCAGAGGUGAAAUCCCAGGGCUCAACCCUGGAACUGCCUUUGAUACUGCUAGUCUUGAGUUCGAGAGAGGUGAGUGGGAUUCCGAGUGUAGAGGUGAAAUUCGUAGAUAUUCGGAGGAACACCAGUGGCGAAGGCGGCUCACUGGCUCGAUACUGACGCUGAGGUGCGAAAGCGUGGGGAGCA
RNAcentral lists this ribosomal RNA (395 nucleotides) under uncultured bacterium. RNAcentral describes it as "bacterial SSU rRNA". It matches the Rfam family "Bacterial small subunit ribosomal RNA", at positions 358 to 770 of the family's 1533-position model. The record is from RNAcentral.